AUAUUUCAACGAGAAUAAGAGCAACAAAAUUGUUGAUGUCAAAAAGUUUGGACUAUGACUUUAUAGAGACUCUUCAUUUGACUUUUGAUGUGUAGUGAUCCUGAAAGCCUGGAUGAUGUGUUAAUACAUUUACAUUGGGAAAAAUGUAAAAAGAUUUCUUAUGAAUCAAUGUCUUUCUUGAUUUUUUUUUUAUCUCAGGUACUGUAAGAGGAUGGUGGAGUGUAUAAAUAAAUCAGAACUGCUAUUUUUCGGAUGGAAAUGACAAGUAUGUGCUUGCAUAGUGCCAAAAUAUGAAAAUAAUAACAUGAAAAGAGGAAAAAAAACUGGAAAAUCUACAAAGUUACAACUAGGAGCCAUGUUCAAGAUUUGAGGAAACAUUCUUCCCUCAAUACUUUUGUAUUAAUCUUCUAUUGCUUCCUUAACAAAUCUCCACAACCUUAUCGACUUAAGUUUUUACCUCACAGGUGGUGGCACAACAAGGGCCUGGCCAUGUCUUCUACUACACAU
This 507-nucleotide long non-coding RNA is filed under the name Heterocephalus glaber (naked mole-rat). RNAcentral's name for it is "lncRNA (ENSHGLG00100047555.1)". The record is from RNAcentral. Lineage: Eukaryota; Metazoa; Chordata; Mammalia; Rodentia; Bathyergidae.